AGAGUUUGAUCAUGGCUCAGAACGAACGCUGGCGGCAUGCCUAAUACAUGCAAGUCGAACGCAGGGUCCUGGUUCGCUGGGGCUCUGAGUGGCGCACGGGUGAGUAGCGCGUGGGAACCUGCCCUGUUGUGGGGGAUAACCGAGGGAAACCUCGGCUAAUACCGCAUACGCCCGGGGCAACCCGGGGAAAGAUUUAUCGCAGCAGGAGGGGCCCGCGUCGGAUUAGCUAGUUGGUGGGGUAACGGCCCACCAAGGCGAUGAUCCGUAGCUGGUCUGAGAGGAUGAUCAGCCACACUGGGACUGAGACACGGCCCAGACUCCUACGGGAGGCAGCAGUAGGGAAUAUUGGACAAUGGGCGCAAGCCUGAUCCAGCAAUGCCGCGUGAGUGAUGAAGGCCUUCGGGUUGUAAAGCUCUUUCGCCCGCGACGAUGAUGACGGUAGCGGGAGAAGAAGCCCCGGCUAACUUCGUGCCAGCAGCCGCGGUAAUACGAAGGGGGCGAGCGUUGUUCGGAUUUACUGGGCGUAAAGGGCGCGUAGGCGGCCGAUCAAGUCAGGCGUGAAAGCCCCGGGCUCAACCUGGGAAUGGCGCUUGGGACUGGUUGGCUUGAGUUCGGGAGAGGAGAGUGGAAUUCCCAGUGUAGAGGUGAAAUUCGUAGAUAUUGGGAAGAACACCGGUGGCGAAGGCGGCUCUCUGGACCGAGACUGACGCUGAGGCGCGAAAGCGUGGGGAGCAAACAGGAUUAGAUACCCUAGUAGUCC
RNAcentral lists this ribosomal RNA (760 nucleotides) under uncultured bacterium. RNAcentral describes it as "bacterial SSU rRNA". It matches the Rfam family "Bacterial small subunit ribosomal RNA", at positions 8 to 796 of the family's 1533-position model. The record is from RNAcentral.